UAAGGACAAGAUGGAAAGAACAAAGACAAAUAGAAAAACAGAGCUUCUAAAAAGCAGAUAUACAGCGAUAUUAAUAAGAGUAAAGUUAAGAGUCCUCAAACACGUUUGAGUUGGAGAAGAGAAGGGCUUCUUGAACUUUGGGUCUCCUCUUGAAAAUCUGGAAGACUUGAAGGCAGGAGGAGACUUCUUUUAAUGCUGGGAAGAGUCGGUUGAAUGGAGUUAAUGGCCCUCUUCCUUCUUUUCCGUUGAAAUCAGUUUGCAGAGAAAGGAUGCUUGAUUUCUUUGAGUGGAAUGGUACUUCUCUGCCUUGCUACAGUCCUCUGUGGCUAUUUAAGCCAUCCCCCACGGAAACUAGCCGUUAGACACAUUUUUCUGCCCGUUCUG
This 384-nucleotide long non-coding RNA is filed under the name Phoenix dactylifera (date palm). RNAcentral describes it as "long non-coding RNA (PDAC_LNC020979)". Lineage: Eukaryota; Viridiplantae; Streptophyta; Magnoliopsida; Arecales; Arecaceae. The record is from RNAcentral.